GUGGGGAAUUUUGGACAAUGGGCGAAAGCCUGAUCCAGCCAUGCCGCGUGCAGGAUGAAGGCCUUCGGGUUGUAAACUGCUUUUGUACGGAACGAAAAGACUCCUUCUAAUAAAGGGGGUCCAUGACGGUACCGUAAGAAUAAGCACCGGCUAACUACGUGCCAGCAGCCGCGGUAAUACGUAGGGUGCAAGCGUAAAUCGGAAUUACUGGGCGUAAAGCGUGCGAAGGCGGUUAUAUAAGACAGAUGUGAAAUCCCCGGGCUCAACCUGGGAACUGCAUUUGUGACUGUAUAGCUAGAGUACGGUAGAGGGGGAUGGAAUUCCGCGUGUAGCAGUGAAAUGCGUAGAUAUGCGGAGGAACACCGAUGGCGAAGGCAAUCCCCUGGACCUGUACUGACGCUCAUGCACGAAAGCGUGGGUAGCGAACAGGAUUAGAAACCCUGGUAGUCC
RNAcentral lists this ribosomal RNA (450 nucleotides) under uncultured bacterium. RNAcentral's name for it is "partial 16S ribosomal RNA". It matches the Rfam family "Bacterial small subunit ribosomal RNA", at positions 354 to 796 of the family's 1533-position model. The record is from RNAcentral.